This 844-nucleotide long non-coding RNA is filed under the name Triticum aestivum (bread wheat). RNAcentral's name for it is "long non-coding RNA (TAES_LNC012794)". Lineage: Eukaryota; Viridiplantae; Streptophyta; Magnoliopsida; Poales; Poaceae. The record is from RNAcentral.
UCUCUUCUCUCAAUCCCUCUCUAUAUAUUGGUACGUAGCCAAACAUUUCUCAUCGUCAACCAAAGUGAUCGAGUGCCCGCCCAGCUAGUGUUGCAUCAGGUGUGGCAUGGACAAGUACACGAUUCGCAUCCUUGCAAUAGCAGCCCUAGUCUGUCUACAUCUCGUAUGCUCUGCUACUGUUGCUCAAUGUAAGGCAGCCAGCACACCAAUACUUCUGUAUCCGCACAACGCUUAUUUUUCUUCACUUCUCCAUUUUGUAUAGCUAGUGAAGGCCUUUCUAUUUUGCUUCUUGUCUAAUCUAUCGCGCCCUUUAUUUAUACUACUCUCAAACAAUUUCAUAACGAUGAUUGAUCUUUUGUUAUUAUCCCAUAAAAUACAGGCCGAAACAUGGCCGACGCGGAUAGGAAGAAGAUCGCUCUACCAUACGGGCUAUGCGUUCAAGUAGGUCCUGACGAUUGUGGGGACGGUGGUUGCUUCCAUUGUUUGGUAAACGAUGUCUUCUACCGCAGUAUGGAUGAGUGCAAGAGCAAGUGUAACACAACCUCAUCUACGUCCCCUCCUUCUUUAAAUGCUCCUUAGCUAGUCAAAUUGGCUUACAUAUGUUGAAGAUUGUCCCAAGAAAUAAUGUCUGAUGUGUGAAAAUGCAGUUCUGCAAUAAGAGUAAUAUAUACUCCGGCAGUUAAUUGUUGCUGAGUAUUUUGGUUUGGCAAAUUGCAUUUGAACUUUUACUAGCAAUUGUUGGGAGAGCGACGACAUGACUCCCAAGCGCAGAUGCUUUAGAAAUCUGAGUGGUACAACUUAGCUUGGGAUCUGUGCCAGUUAACUUUUUGCUACAUAUACGUUU